Molecule: non-coding RNA, 2056 nt
Organism: Macaca mulatta (Rhesus monkey)
Lineage: Eukaryota; Metazoa; Chordata; Mammalia; Primates; Cercopithecidae
Source: RefSeq, a predicted model, not a curated record
GUUUGCCAGGCUGGUCUGAAACUCCUGAUCUUGUGAUCUGCUCGCCUUGGCUUCCCAAAGUGCUGGGAUUAUAGGAUUGAGACCCGCCCCCACCGCCCCAGCCCGCCAGAUCUACCUAAGGGCCAGAGGCCCGCGAAGUUUGCCUGUGAAAAGAAAAGUGUCUCAGCCCUCAACCCACUCCUUGGGGAAGGCGCCUUUUCAACCCACCCACCAGCAGGGUCUCAAAGGAAGUAAUGGACAUAAAUCAAAAGAUGCUGCUGAUGGCCUUGGCAGAUCAGCAAGACACAGCAAAUCUGUCAACCCAGCUCAGCUGCCGUAGCUGUCCUGUUCCAGCCACUGGUUCACACACAUCGGACAGGUGCACCCUGGAGGCCGUGGGCACGUGACUUCCAAUACAGUGUCACAUGAUGGGCCACGUCAGUGGUCCACCACCCUGCAUCAUUUGACAUAAACCAGGGAACACGCAGGCCCCAAGGGAUGCCACCUGGUAUCAGAGAGAAGCCACGGGCCCACCCUACCUUCAGAGCAGUCUCAAUGCCCAGCGGCUUGCACUCGAGGACAGCUUUGGCCACAGCAUCACGGAGAGCCUUGUAUUCAUCGCCGUACACCAGAUUUCGUGACAUCAAGCAUUGGUCAUUUGGAAAAUACUGGUUCACUGGGCUGUGCAAGUCUUGUAAAGGUUGACACAUUUUUAUUCUGCGUUUAAAAAAAAAAAUCCAUAUUCAUUAAUAUCACCACAAAUUGCCCCAAAAUAUCUUUAAGUAUUCGAAAGCUCGCAGGCUCAUAGUGAAGAAUAUAAGCUUUUCAGAAUUUCAAUUUCAGCUUAAGAGCUUGAAUGUUAUCAUCACCAACCAACAUUGUCAGUUGUUUGGCUGAGGCCGGCUCGCUUUGCUGAUUUCCAGGAGAGGCCGACCCAGCCCUGGACACCUGCAUCGUGUGCAUCCUUCCUCCCGGCACGAGUGGCGGUCCGUGAACACGGCAGCCGGCUGAUAACUCAGGGCUUGUCAUGAGUGAUUUUCUGCGAGGCAACUGUCUACUGCAGUGCGUAGUGGGAGUGUUUUCUGUGCGCUUCCCAUUUCCACAAAACAUUAAGAAAUCAAAUCCUCAAGAGUCAAGAUUUAGUAAAACGAAUGAAACUGGCAUGAAGAAGAAAGCCACGUGUGCAUGGCGGUGAAGAGAACAAUGUCUACAGCUGCUGCGUGUUCACGUGAGGGGCCAGCAGUUUCACCCACCACCGCUUUUGUAACAUCAUAAGCACCAACAUGUGUUUUAAAAAGGGCAAAUUUAUCUUAUAAUCUAAUUUUUAAAAUAGUUUUAACCUCAGAGACCCACCUCACACCCAAGGGUCCAUACCAACACUUUGAGAACUGCAAUAUUAGAUCAAUACAAGUACCACAGGUGAUACUAUUCUUGGAUGUCAACAUCCUUUCACAAGGAAAUAGAGCCCAUGGUCAGGGGAAUAGAAACUUAGAAGACAUCUAGGACAUUCAGGGUGAGCAGGAUUCUAAGCUACCAUCCGAAAAAUCAGAAAGCUGGACCACUGUGGAACCAGGCUCAGCCCACAGAUUCUGCCCUCUUGAGUUGUGUCCUUCACACCACCGUGGUCCCUUCACGGCACUGUUGGCUUCUUGCUAGAUGUGUGCUUGUGGGAAUACUAAACUCAUGUGCCUACAUGUGACAAUGUCAGAAUACACAGCCAGUACAAGUAACCAGGUCGUGUCUCACCGAAAAAGCUCCCCAAGAUCAUGUACUACCUACUAGUCACGACGAGAAGACUUGGUAACAAAGAGAACGCCACAAUGAAGAGAAAAAGGCAGGGCUUUCUAGAAGCAAGUCUCCAUGUUGUUCUUACCUGUACUUCAAAAGCAGUUUCAGUAUCACUGAGCGGAUGACAGGAGUCUUAUCCACAACAUCAUUGAAUGGAGAGAGAGAUUUUGUGUGUUCACGGCGUCCUUAAACCAGAAAGAGAAAGGCAGCUCACUGCAUGAGACAUGCAGAAGUGAGAUGAAGAAGUGAGCUGCUAGGUUUACAGGAAGAAAGCAACCUACUCUGGGGA